GACGAACGCUGGCGGCGUGCUUAACACAUGCAAGUCGAACGAAGAGCGAUGGAAGCUUGCUUCUAUCAAUCUUAGUGGCGAACGGGUGAGUAACGCGUAAUCAACCUGCCCUUCAGAGGGGGACAACAGUUGGAAACGACUGCUAAUACCGCAUACGAUCUAAUCUCGGCAUCGAGGAUAGAUGAAAGGUGGCCUCUACAUGUAAGCUAUCACUGAAGGAGGGGAUUGCGUCUGAUUAGCUAGUUGGAGGGGUAACGGCCCACCAAGGCGAUGAUCAGUAGCCGGUCUGAGAGGAUGAACGGCCACAUUGGGACUGAGACACGGCCCAGACUCCUACGGGAGGCAGCAGUGGGGAAUCUUCCGCAAUGGACGAAAGUCUGACGGAGCAACGCCGCGUGAGUGAUGACGGCCUUCGGGUUGUAAAGCUCUGUUAAUCGGGACGAAAGGACUUCUUGCGAAUAGGGAGAAGGAUUGACGGUACCGGAAUAGAAAGCCACGGCUAACUACGUG
This 510-nucleotide ribosomal RNA is filed under the name uncultured bacterium. RNAcentral's name for it is "partial 16S ribosomal RNA". It matches the Rfam family "Bacterial small subunit ribosomal RNA", at positions 28 to 507 of the family's 1533-position model. The record is from RNAcentral.